RNAcentral lists this ribosomal RNA (442 nucleotides) under uncultured bacterium. RNAcentral describes it as "partial 16S ribosomal RNA". It matches the Rfam family "Bacterial small subunit ribosomal RNA", at positions 339 to 795 of the family's 1533-position model. The record is from RNAcentral.
CUACGGGGUGCUGCAGUGGGGAAUAUUGCACAAUGGGGGAAACCCUGAUGCAGCGACGCCGCGUGAGUGAAGAAGUAUUUCGGUAUGUAAAGCUCUAUCAGCAGGGAAGAAAACAAUGACGGUACCUGACUAAGAAGCCCCGGCUAACUACGUGCCAGCAGCCGCGGUAAUACGUAGGGGGCAAGCGUUAUCCGGAUUUACUGGGUGUAAAGGGAGCGUAGACGGUAGAUCAAGUCUGAAGUGAAAGCCCGGGGCUCAACCCCGGGACUGCUUUGGAAACUGGUAAACUAGAGUGCAGGAGAGGUAAGUGGAAUUCCUAGUGUAGCGGUGAAAUGCGUAGAUAUUAGGAGGAACACCAGUGGCGAAGGCGGCUUACUGGACUGUAACUGACGUUGAGGCUCGAAAGCGUGGGGAGCAAACAGGAUUAGAUACCCCAGUAGUC